This 72-nucleotide transfer RNA is filed under the name Chloroflexota bacterium. RNAcentral's name for it is "Chloroflexi bacterium (sediment metagenome) tRNA-His". It matches the Rfam family "tRNA". From Rfam's summary of the family: Transfer RNA (tRNA) molecules are approximately 80 nucleotides in length. Lineage: Bacteria; Bacillati; Chloroflexota. The record is from RNAcentral.
GCGGAUGUAGCUCAAUGGCAGAGCGCCUGACUGUGGCUCAGGGUGUUGUGGGUUCGAGCCCCAUCAUCCGCC